UUGCUGAGUUCGCGAAUGGCAUACAAAGGAGAGUCAGCAGUUGUCUGCUGUCUAAAUGAAAACAUCUCCAACGGAAUUUCGCUUGUGACGGCUUUGAUGACGUCAUGCCUCCCCCUUUCUACUUCCCAUAAAAACCGUACUCUCCCCUCUCCUCUCCUUUUCCUUUUAUUUAUUAACCGUUCCUUCUCGCACCUCCCAGAAAAACAGACAAUACAAGAAAUCAUGGGCUCCUGUUUCUCUUGUUCAGUCUUCAGCGAAUCUGACCUUCUCCCUCCCGCUGCCAACGUCGUAUCUAUCAAUGGUACUCUCCGCCAAUACAACGUUCCUGUCAUCGCCUCUCAAGUUCUCGACGCUGAAGCUGCAUCCUCUUCUUCAUCCUCUUCAACUUCUUUCUUUCUCUGCAAUUCUGAUUUCUUGUCCUACGAUGAUCUCAUUCCUGCCUUGGAUUCCGACGCUCAGCUGUACGCCAACCAGUUGUAUUUUAUUCUUCCGAAAUCUAAGCUCCAAAACAGGCUCACAGCUCCUGAUAUGGCUGCUUUGGCUGUCAAAGCUAGCGUAGCCCUUCAAAACGCGUCUAAAAAUGAAGCUCAUCGCCGCAAGAAGGCCAGGAUUUCUCCUGUUUUAUUAGUCAAUCAAUCCUCCUCGCAACGGCAUCUCCUCAACCCUACGAGUGGCGACGCUUAUCCUCGUAAGACUUUUCAGAAAGCUAAAGGAGAACAGCCUCCCGUGGGAAUGGGCUUUUCUAGAUCUGGAUCUGUUAGAAGACUACACAGGUACCAAUAUGUAAAGGCAUUGACAAAGAAGAAAGUCUGGGGCGGAGCACACAAGAGAAAGGCAGGAGACAUAUGAAAAGUAAGCAACUCUAACUCUAAAUUACAAUCAAUCCUUACGUUUGUUAUAACUAAAUGUGAAUUCCUUAAAACUUGAGUCAGUCAUAAAAACAGGAUGGUUAGAGGAGACAAACUGCGGCGGGUGUCUCAAAACCUCUUUCUCAAGUCAAAUUGUAGACUUUCUCUUUUCAUAACUUAUAAUCAAAACAGCCCGCUACCGUCCAACCCUUUAUUUUAUAUUUUCCAAUGCCUCUGGUUUUCUUUUUUUGGCCUCAGUCAAAGUCAAUUUUUUUAAUUUGUGUUCUCGCGUUAUUGGGUUGUAUUUUAAUGUUUAUGGAUGAAACGUACUUAUCCGACAAUGUCCGUACCCAAUCCCAAUAUUGAUUACCUAAUUAAUUUUUUUUUUAUUUUACCUGCUGCUGCAUCACUCACUCUCUAAUUUAUAUUUUGUGCAAUCAUAAGUAUAAAAAUAAUUUAUAUUUUUUGUCAAGCCAAGAAAUUAUGUAAAUGAAUUGUGUAUUUUAAUGUUUAUUAUUUAAAUUGGAUUUAAUUGAUAUAGUGAAAUCAAUUUAAAAUUAAAAUACUUAUAAUAUAAUAAUAAUAGUUAAAUUUUUAUAAAUUAAAAUAUUUUAAUAACAAAUUAUCUAUUUUAUUUAAAGAAAAAUGUAAACGAGUGAGACCAAAAUGUGAAUUUGGUUAUGCUUUUUUUGUAUAAUUGCGGUUAGCAAGUUAUUAUGGUUCUUUCCUUUUCGGAUUGAUUAUUAGAUAAACGGGCAGAAACAAAUCUUAAAAAAGUCAAGCAUGUGAUGUUCGUUGGCGGUCAAUAACAUAUGUCUAAAUUGUAAUCUACUCAUGUCUUAGUCUUUUUUAAAAAGAAAUUUAGAUUAACAAACACGCAUGCCUCUUCUUUUCUUUAAAUUUUGUUGGGCUUACUUUCUGAAAUUUCAUUUUUCUUUUGAUCUUGUAAACCGCAAAAAGGCCUGGUGCUAGGAGGGUGGAACCAGGAGAUUGUUUUCUAGGGCCCAAUCCAAUUUAAAUGGCCGAACAGACUUCUGUCUGAAAUAGUGACGAUACUUGCCACCUGAUGUUGAAAAUAAAGAGUAAUUCCCUGUUAUUACGUGAACAUACUACUGAGAAUGGACGUGGGUGUAUGCAUUAAGAGUGAAGGAAGACAUGAAUUGAUUAGGAGUGCUUCCAAUUGGUAAUGGCAUGUGGUUUUUACGUUGCCUUAUAAAGAUACAAAGUGGAGUGUUGGGGGGAUGCACAGAGAUUGACAUUGAAGGUGCAAUAUAUGUAUAUAAGGCAGUGUUAGUGUUGUGUUUGAAAUUGUUAAUGAAUAAGAGUGUUUGCCACUAAUUGUUGGUUGGUUAA
RNA transcript from Ricinus communis (castor bean), 2201 nucleotides. RefSeq lists it as uncharacterized. The record is from RefSeq and is a predicted model, not a curated record. Lineage: Eukaryota; Viridiplantae; Streptophyta; Magnoliopsida; Malpighiales; Euphorbiaceae. The transcript has 3 exons.